Long non-coding RNA from Poecilia latipinna (sailfin molly), 6093 nucleotides. RefSeq lists it as uncharacterized. NCBI's taxonomy places the organism in Eukaryota, Metazoa, Chordata, Actinopteri, Cyprinodontiformes, Poeciliidae. The transcript has 4 exons. The record is from RefSeq and is a predicted model, not a curated record.
ACAAACAGUCAGCAGACAGACAAGAUCACUUCAGAUCAAAGCCCAGGGGAAAAGGAAUCUGACAUCUCUGGCAUGAAGGUGAGGUGGCAUGGGGUGGCUGACGAGCUCCAACAUCUUUCACCUGUGGCAGCCAAGUAGAGAAACACAAAGAGAGAGGGCUUUCUCAUGAAGAGAGCCCUAGAGGUCAGUGACCGUAACAGUAGACAACUAAAUGUGACCCAAAUAUUUUACAGGGUAAACUUCACAAAGUCAUUGUGCACAUCUAAUUCUGAAUGUCUAACCCUGAUCAGAGUUGGGUGCUAUGUUUGUAAUGGAUGUUCCCAUUAUUUCCAUUCCAUUCAUGAAUGUAACUUGCAAAAAAAUCAUAUUGAUACAAAUUAUGAUUUGAGCCAGUACAUUCAUAAUUUCUUCCUCUAUUCAAUCUAUAUGAACAAUUACAUCUAUGUUAUAUUUAUAUUACUUUUUAGCUUUUGGACAGAUUUUAACAAAGACAACAAGGUGUUUUUUUUUUUUGUUUUUUUUUUUUUGGUCGCUGUGAGCAGCUGAUUAGCAUCUCAAAAGUUUAAAUUAUAUCGGGGCUACAGCCCAAAGCUCAUGCAAGUUGAAAAGGAGGCAACAUUUAUGCUGAGUCUGAGUAUUGGGCUCCAGGUUAUGGGGAUUAGUUUGGUUUCCUUUUCAGUUCUUCGCCACUCCGCCAGAGGGAGCCAUUGGAUCACUCUGCUGGGGAGGGCGUGCCUGCAGGCCCUCUCAACUAUCCACACCUGAGAGGAAUCAUCAUCCAGAGGAGUAUAUGAGCAGCAGACAGCCAACACUUUGCCAGAAUGUUUGCCAGUUUUUGGAAUCCUUCAAGGCCCUUGGGGUUGGUUUCCUCUAGUCCACCGGUCCUGAAAGAAACCUUUCCGUGACGCCUCUGCUGUCUGCUUUGCUGCUCCUCUGUGGUGACAUAUCUGACCAGCCCACCCUCCUAUGCCUGGUCCAUCUCCAGCCAGCCUACGUCAGCUCUCUCCCCAAUCUGGAACCACGUACCUCCACCCGUCAUCCUCCGUUUGUUUUUCAAGUAAGAACAGAGCUCUCGGCCAUUAGUUAUCUCCUUUUUCCACCCCCUGUGAAGCCAUCUUAACCUCUCUCUUCCCUUCUGUGCCGACGCACCUGGACUCCGACCCGCUGAUCCUCCUAACCGUGUUUCUUUGUUUGAUUUUGUAUUGUUGCAAUAAAUAUCCUCUUUUACAUCCAUCUCUCCGUGAGUGUUUCUGCAUGUGGGCAAAAAGCAUUAGACCCAUCAUGACAGAACACUCUGGCCAAACUGAAGACCCAGCAGACAAUCCUUAGAGCUCUCCACCAACAACAAUCUUCUAUUCGAAGCAUGAGGCCGCUUUACAAGAACUGGGUAACCGACAAGUCGAAACCAAAAGUCGCCUGGCUGAACUAACCGAUUUUCUCCGCUCACAUUUUCAACAGACUCCUGAUCCUGUCGGAGAACCCUCCCAGCCUUCAACUCCAGAUCCUGAUCCUCCAGUCCAGUCCGCGUUUUCUGACUGUCUGUUGCCUAAUCCACCCAGGUUUGACGGAGAUCCAAAGAAAUGCAGGGGUUUCUUAAUGCAAUGUACAAUUCAGUUCAAUCACUCUCCCCAUAGAUUCAUUCAUGACUCCGCUAAGAUUUCAUACAUUAUUGCACACUUAUCAGACCGCGCUUUGGAUUGGGCAGAGGUUAAAUUCUCUUCAUCCCCCGACUACAAUUGCACUUUUUCGGAAUUCAUAACUGAGUUAAAACAAACUUUCAAUCAGGAUACAGAUAAGGCUCUCAGGUCCUGAGACCUGUUAAAGAUAAGACAAGGACAACGGUCGGUAGCUGAUUUUUCGAUUGAUUUUUGCAUUCAAGCGGCUGCUUCUGGAUGGAACAGUGUUGCGCUCAAAAGUGCAUUCCUAAACGCUUUAAACGAUCCCAUUAAGGACAAAUUAGCAACAUUAGAUGAACCCGAAUCUCUGGAGGACUUAAUAAAAUUGUCCAUACGGUUAGAUAAUAGGAUUCGAGCCCGAACUAAAGAAAGAUGCAAUAGAAAUCCUCCAUCCAGACCUCUUCCAGUCAUUAGCCGCACAAUCCUGGCUGAGCCCUCACUGAAUUUAUCCAGCCCCGAACCCAUGCAAAUUGGACACACAAAAUUGUCUCAAGCAGAGAGGCAGCGCAAAAUGCGUUCUAAGUUGUGCCUCUACUGUUGCGAAGCCAGUCAUUUUGUCUCCCUCUGUCCACUGCUGUUAAAAGCCAUUGUCCGCCAGUAAAGGCAAGGGAGCUUGGCGGACCAUCAAAUAACCAUAAAUUCACCUCGUCUACUGUUACCUGCUUCUCUACUAGUUAACAAUAAAUCCAUUCCAGUAUCCGCCUUGCUAGACUUGGGAUGUAAACAUAAUCUUUUGGAUUCAUGUCUUGUCCAGCAGAUGGGAAUAAAGACAUCUGCUGGACCUGCUCCCCUUCGUGUUUUAGCCCUUGACGGCAAGAUACUGCCACAGAUUACUCACCAGUCCCAACCCAUCCCACUAACCGUCUUAGGCAACCAUAAUGAGUGCAUCUCAUUUUAUGUUUUUCCAACUGCAAGUUCCCCGUUGAUUUUAGGAUUUGAAUGGUUGCAACAGCACAACCCCAAUAUUAAUGGGGUUCAUCGACACAUUGACUCAUAGUCAUUAACCUGCCAUUCAUCUUGUCUCCGCUCUGCUGUUCCGCCAGGCCCACCACCGGCAGACAAUUAUGAAGCUGACCCACCAUAUCUCUCUUCAGACUCUGCUGAAUAUCACGACUUGGCUCAAGUAUUCAGUAAAUCUAAAGCCUCGUCCCUGCCUCCCCACAAACCAUAUGACUGUGCUAUAUCUGCUACCUGGGGCUCCUUUGCCCAACAGUCGACUCUACAACAUCUCCAAACCUGAAAGGGAGACCAUGGAAAAAUACAUACAGGAGUCAUUAGCGGCUGGCAUAAUCUGCCAUUCCUCCUCCCCUUUAUGGGCUGGUUUUUUCUUUGUAGCGAAGAAAGAUGGAUCUUUAAGACCCUGCAUCAACUUCAGAGGGCUGAACCAAAUCACAGUUAAAAACAAAUACGCCCUGCCACUCCUCUCCUCUGCCUUUGAGCCAGUUCAAGGGGCCAAGGUGUUGACUAAACUAGAUCUUAGAAACGCCUAUCACUUACUCCUCAUCAGAGAAGGGGGUGAGUGGAAGACGGCCUUUAAGACUCCAUUAGGCCACUUUGAGUAUUUAGUCAUGCCCUUCGGUUUAACUAACGCACCUGCGUGCUUUCAGGCUCUCAUGAAUGACGUCCUAAGGGACUUUCUUAAUGUGUUUGUCUAUCUCGAUGACAUUUUGAUUUUUUUCUAAGAAUCUACUUGAGCACAGGAACCAUGUCAGUCAAGUGUUGCAGCGCCUCCUGGGGAAUAAGUUGUUUGUGAAAGUGGAGAAAUGUGAGUUUCACCAACCAUCAGUCUCCUUCCUGGGUUACGUCCUCGAGGGUGGACAGGUCAGACCAGCAGAGGAAAAAAUCAAGGCAGUUUUAGAUCGGCCCACUCCUACUACCCGAAAACGACUCCAAAGAUUUCUUGGGUUCACCAAUUUCUACCGAUGAUUUAUUCGUAAUUAUAGCCAAACUGCCCUACCCUUAACUGCUCUAACCUCAACCAAGACUCCAUUCAGCUGGACCCCUGCAGCUAAUGAAGCCUUUUCCAGGUUAAAGUACCUUUUUGCUAACGCGCCCGUUCUCAUCCAACCUGACCCCACCAAACAGUUCAUUGUCGAGGUGGAUGCUUCAGAUUCAGGAGUAGGGGCCGUUCUCUCUCAACUCUCAGAAAGUGAUCACAAGAUUCACCCAUGUGCCUUUUUCUCCCGCAGACUGUCCCCAGCAGAGAGAAAUUAUGAUGUUGGGGAUCGUGAACUACUUGCCAUCAAAUUACCAUUAGAGGAGUAGCAACAUUGGCUCAAGGGCGCAGUUCUCCCCAUCGUUGUUUGGACGGACCAUAAAAAUCUAGCUUAUCUCCAGUCAGCUAGAAGACUCAAUCCUCGUCAGUCACGUUGGUCAUUAUUCUUCUCUCGGUUUAACUUAUCCAUUUCUUUCCGCCCAGGAUCCUGUAACGUGAAGCCAGAUGCCCUAUCCAGACUUUACUCCCCAGAUGACUCUGAGAAGGAGCCUGCCCCCAUUCUACCUCCUAGUUGUUCGGUUGCUACGGUGACCUGGUAAAUUGAAGAUCUUGUUAAACAAGCACAACAGUCUGAGCCUUAUCCAGGGUCCGGCCCCUCCAACAAGAUGUACGUACCCACAGCUAUUCGUGCCUUUGUCAUAAGUUGGUUACAUUCUUCAAAGUUUUCUGCUCAUCCAGGCAUCAGUCGAACCGUAGCUUUAGUUAAUCGAGGUUUUGGUGGCCGUCCAUCCAAAAGGACGUUAAAGAUUAUGUCUCCGCCUGUCCCAUUUGUGCUCGGAAUAAGUCCUCCCAUCAGCCUCCUUCUGGACUUCUUCAACCCUUACCUACUCCCAAACGGCCCUGGUCGCAUAUUGCUGUUGAUUUUGUCACCGGACUGUCUGUCUCCAAAGGUAUGACCACUAUAUUGACUAUCAUUGAUAUAUUUUCUAAAGCUUGCCACCUAGAGGUUUUGAGAACUUCCUUCGGCUUUUCAAACAGCUCAACUCCUACCCUAAGAAUGUGUUUAGAUUACAUGGUAUACCUCUGGACAUCCUCUCUGACCGAGGGCCACAGUUCACUGCUCAAGUUUGGAGAAAUUUUUGUCGUGCUCUUGUAGCAAAGGUGUCACUCACCUCUGGUUAUCACCCACAGUCUAAUGGUCAAGUCAAACGAAUGAACCAGGAGUUGGAGGCCACCCUCAGAUGUCUGACCACCACCAAUCCGUCUGACUGGAACACUUGCCUCCCCUGGGUGGAGUAUGCGCAUAACUCUCACGUGUCCUCUGCCACUGGGUUGUCCCCUUUCGAGGUCCCUUUAGGCUAUCAACCCCCACUGUUCCCGGCUGACGAAAAGGACAUCUCAGUCACCUCCGUCCAGCACCACAUUCGACGGUGUAAGGUCAUCUGGAACAAGACUAUCGCAGCCCUUAACCGCACCGCUGAACAAAAUCGUCGUUGGGCUGAUUGUAAGAGGGAGGGCUGCCCCUACGUUUGUUCCUGGUCAAAGAGUUUGGCUUUCCACAAGAGACAUCCCAUUGAAAUCAAUGUCCAAAAAGUUAUCCCCUCGUUUCAUUGGGCCUUAUGAAAUUGACCGCAUUGUUGGCCCAUCGGCGAUUCAUCUGCGACUGCCAUCUUCACUUCGUGUCCACUCCACGUGGUUAAACCGGUCCAUUCCACUCCCUUGUGCCCCACGGGUGAGCCCCCUCCCACCCUGGACAUUGAUGGUCACCCGGCUUACUCGGUCUGCCGGAUUGUUGAUUCUCGGAGGCGUGGGCGGGGUUGGCAAUACCUGGUGGACUGGGAGGGUUAUGGUCCCGAGGACCGUUUAUGGGUGCCGGGCUCGUUUAUUUUGGAUCCAUCCCUUAUUUCUGAUUUCUGUUCAUCCCAGUCCCCUGGCUCUUCUGGACCGCCAGGUGGCGGUCAUUGAGGGUCGGGUAGUGUUGGGUUCCAGGUUAUGGGGAUUAGUUUGGUGUCCUUUUCAGUUCUUCGCCACUCCACCAGAGGGAUCCAUUGGAUCAGUCUGCUGGGGAGGGCGUGCCUGCAGGCUCUCAACUAUCCACACCUGAGAGGAAUCAUCAUCCAGAGGAGUAUAUGAGCAGCAGACAGCCAACACUUCUUUGCCAGAGUGUUUGCCAGUUUUUGGAAUCCUUCAAGGCCCUUGGGGUUGGUUUCCUCUAGUCCACCGGUCCUGAAAGAAACCUUUCCGUGACGCCUCUGCUGUCUGCUUUGCUGCUCCUCUGUGGUGACAUAUCUGACCAGCCCACCCUCCUACGCCUGGUCCAUCUCCAGCCAGCCUACGUCAGCUCUCUCCCCAAUCUGGAACCACGUACCUCCACCCGUCAUCCUCCGUUUGUUUUUCAAACGCACCUGGACUCCGACCCGCUGAUCCUGUUUCUUUGUUUGAAUUUGUAUUGUUGCAAUAAAUAUCCUCUUUUACAUCCAU